AGUGAACGCUGGCGGUAGGCCUAACACAUGCAAGUCGAACGGCAGCACAGUAAGAGCUUGCUCUUACGGGUGGCGAGUGGCGGACGGGUGAGGAAUACAUCGGAAUCUACUUUUUCGCGGGGGAUAACGCAGGGAAACUUACGCUAAUACCGCAUACGACCUACGGGUGAAAGCAGGGGAUCUUCGGACCUUGCGCGAUUGAAUGAGCCGAUGUCGGAUUAGCUAGUUGGCGGGGUAAAGGCCCACCAAGGCGACGAUCCGUAGCUGGUCUGAGAGGAUGAUCAGCCACACUGGAACUGAGACACGGUCCAGACUCCUACGGGAGGCAGCAGUGGGGAAUAUUGGACAAUGGGCGCAAGCCUGAUCCAGCCAUACCGCGUGGGUGAAGAAGGCCUUCGGGUUGUAAAGCCCUUUUGUUGGGAAAGAAAAGCAGCAGGUUAAUACCCCGCUGUUCUGACGGUACCCAAAGAAUAAGCACCGGCUAACUUCGUG
RNAcentral lists this ribosomal RNA (492 nucleotides) under uncultured bacterium. RNAcentral's name for it is "partial 16S ribosomal RNA". It matches the Rfam family "Bacterial small subunit ribosomal RNA", at positions 29 to 507 of the family's 1533-position model. The record is from RNAcentral.